This 497-nucleotide ribosomal RNA is filed under the name uncultured bacterium. Its description in RNAcentral is "partial 16S ribosomal RNA". It matches the Rfam family "Bacterial small subunit ribosomal RNA", at positions 28 to 507 of the family's 1533-position model. The record is from RNAcentral.
GAUGAACGCUGGCGGCGUGCCUAAUACAUGCAAGUCGAGCGAACAGAUGAGGAGCUUGCUCCUCUGACGUUAGCGGCGGACGGGUGAGUAACACGUGGAUAACCUACCUAUAAGACUGGGAUAACUUCGGGAAACCGGAGCUAAUACCGGAUAACAUUUUGAACCGCAUGGUUCAACAGUGAAAGACGGUCUUGCUGUCACUUAUAGAUGGAUCCGCGCCGCAUUAGCUAGUUGGUAAGGUAACGGCUUACCAAGGCAACGAUGCGUAGCCGACCUGAGAGGGUGAUCGGCCACACUGGAACUGAGACACGGUCCAGACUCCUACGGGAGGCAGCAGUAGGGAAUCUUCCGCAAUGGGCGAAAGCCUGACGGAGCAACGCCGCGUGAGUGAAGAAGGUCUUCGGAUCGUAAAACUCUGUUAUUAGGGAAGAACAAAUGUGUAAGUAACUAUGCACGUCUUGACGGUACCUAAUCAGAAAGCCACGGCUAACUACGUG